Molecule: non-coding RNA, 3428 nt
Organism: Pantherophis guttatus
Lineage: Eukaryota; Metazoa; Chordata; Lepidosauria; Squamata; Colubridae
Source: RefSeq, a predicted model, not a curated record
ACUUUUUUCAGCCCUCUGGGUAGUCCUUUUGUGCAUAUGGACUACUUAGAGGGCUGAAAAAGUUAUUUUUGACCGGUCCUCACACUUUUGUCCAGCCCUUGAACUUACGACUGUCCUCACAUUUUACGUUUUGCGCCCUAUCUUGUCACCGUGGUGAAGAGAAAUGACUGACACAGUUGUUAAGAAUGCCGCAACGGGCAUAAAUGUGAGGAUGGUCAUAAGUGCGAGGACCAGUCAGAAAUGACUUUUUUCAGCCCUCUGAGUAGUCCCUAUGCACAUAGCCACGCCCACCCGGUCACAUGACCAGCUAGCCACGCCCACCCGGUCACAUGACCACCAAGCCACACCCCCAACUAAGCCACGCCCACAGAACCGGUUGUUAAAAAAAUUGAAUCCCACCACUGGUUCUAUACCAAUACUACACAGGUAAAAUAUUAAACAUUUUUCUUUGUUUAGCUAAGUUUCCAUCUUUUUUUUCUUUCUGUUAAUAUCUUUUAAUCUCCACUAAUAUAGAUUUUUUACUCCCGUAUAACCAUUAGUGAGUUCUUUUCGGUCCAUGUGGUAAUUUGAAUUAGACUGUUAAAAUAAUUUUAAAAAAUAAAAUAUUUUUAAAAAUAAAUCCAAAUUUACAGAUUAUCCUAAUGGUCUGGUUAUUGACACAUGCUGCUUGUCAACUUGAAAUGAUAAAAUAUAGGGCAGUAAUCAUUGAUCAUUUGUAGCAUUUGUUUCAGAGCCACUGAUUGACAUAUCAAUACCAUUCCCAUACAAAUCUCUAAUAUUCCUAGCAUUUCUUUCUCCUCGUUUUCAUCCUGAAUCAUCUCAUCGCUUUUAAUACCAUUCAUUCUGCCAGAGACUUGCUCAGUCCUCUUCACCAAUUUACUUUGAACAAAAUAGUUUUGAAUUUUCUCUGCCUCUGUUAAUCUUUACCGUUCCUUACUCUCUUUAAUUACAAGCUUUGCAACCAUCUUUUUGUCUCUACAGACAUCAUUCCUAAUUUUUCUUCCAGGAUUUAUUAGAGGAAUCAAUACCGACACAUUUGUCCACUAUGCCACGUGUUCAUGCUGUUCUAGGCAAGCUAGGCUCCAUAACCUAAACUCUUCCAUGCAAGCCCCCAUCCUGUGAACUAGGUAGCAUAUAGGUUGUACUGACACGACAGAGUAUUGCCAAGUGCGUUAUGGAAUGUAAGAAUACAGAGCCAUUUUCCAACGGUUAUUUCAUGUUUAGAAACAGUCCUAUGGUUCCAGUGCUAUAAAUUAUGGAUAUCAAAAAGCAUGUGGCAAAGUCAUUACAGGAGAGUGGUGUUCAUAUCAACCUGUACAUCUUGCAAAUAAUUAACCUCCCUUUUAUCAGCCUCUUAAUCUGCUUCACUGAAAUGUGUUUUAAGCAAUACAGAUCCUCCGUUGUCCCAAAUUGUUAAGAACUAGAAUGCUAAUGUUGGCUAGAGAUAAGCAAAGUUUUGAACAUAUUGAGGGAAAACUGGUUUAUUUGGAAUUAUUGGAAUUGUUAACUGGUUUAGCACAAUUACUGCUAAAGGUGCUUCAUCAGUGGUGAGUUGCUCCCGGUUCUGUCCGGUUCUAUAGAACCGGUAGUAAAACCGGCGGGAGGCUCCGCCCACCCGCCAAAACGUCAUCAUGAGUGAUCUGCGCAGAAGCUCCGGCUGUGAACUGGUAGUAAAGGUAAGUGGAACCCACCCCUGUGCUACAUGACAUAGGGAGAUUUUAAUUUUUCUCUGAUGACAGUGAAAUAUUGGGCAUAAAGUGCACAGAGAUCAAAACAGACUUUCAUUUUCUACUUAGCACUGAAGAUGUUCAGGGUUAGACCAAAUAGAAUCUUAGACUCCUUUCAACAUUAUGUAGAGUUGCAAAGUAAUUCUUAUUUUCCUUAAACUGAUCUAUGAGGAAUCUGGGGUAGUAGAUUUGUCACCCAUAUUAUAUAAAGCAUUGUAAUCCAGAGCUGCAGAGAACUAAGAUUUUGGGAAAUUCAAUGACAUAUUUAGCAGAGAACUCAAAUAAUAAAACCUGCAAAAAGCCAAUAGUUCCAUAAGCCUUCUUUAAACAACCGAGAAUCGCCUUUAUUUUUUGCUAUCAUCAGAUUUUGCAUUUCUUUUUUUCCCCAGCCUUUCAAAUGACUUUCUAAUCUGAAAGUGAUAAUUAACACCGUCUGGUGUAUGGUAUAUCAAAUAGCAUACUGUAUUGUUGCAUUUAUAAAUAUUUUACUUCAGAAUUAAUACUGAACAGCCAGUACAUUGACAUUUUGCUGUUAGUUUUUAACUCAUUUCUAUGUGGAAUAUAAAUAUAGUAUUCUUUUCUAAAGCGCCUUACAUCAUAACUUUCCUUGAUACUCAUUCUGCUUCUAGUGAGAAGUCGAUUUUACGUGGUGUGUUAUUUCCUUCACUGUGGGAGAUGUGUUGAUUAGGUUCUUGCUUCAUUUCACUUGAUUUCUGGAAAAAAUCGAGUACCUCUUGGCAGAAAUAUUCAUCAGGAAAUCCACCAGAGAAAGAAAAUGCAGGACAUUCCAGCUUGAAUGCUUCAGGGAGCUCACUGGAACUUGCAAGAGUUUCAUCGGAAUUAGAGGAGAUAUAAUUAUUAAUGCUGAUGCCUUUGAUCAAAUCUUUGAAAUAUUGCCCAAUAGAAAUAUGACAGCCAUUUGUAUCUUGUUGUAUGUGCUUUCCUUCUGUAAGUUUCUCUAACUUGCUUCUAAAUAUUUUAUCUUCUUGAAGAAAACGCACUGAAGUGGUAUGCUGUUCCAAAAAGGCUUUCAUUUGAUGAUAAAGGGUCUUGCGGAAAAAUCAGGUGGAACAACAACUGAUGACUUCCUUUUACCGGUCUACGAUAGAAAGUGCCCUUACAUAUUGUGUUACAGUAUGGUAUGCUGGCUUGACAGUCGUGGACAGAAAGGCAUUACAGAGGGUGAUGAGCACAGCACAAACAAUUAUGGCCUGUCCCCUGACACCACUGGAUGAAAUCGCCAGGACCCACUGCCUCAACAGAGUGAGGAAAAUCCUCAGGGAUGAGUCACACCCUGGUCAGCACUUCUUUACUUUCCUACCAUCGGGCAGGAGAUAUAGAAGCACAGCCAGCCGAACGAACAGGCUGAAAAAUAGCUUUUAUCCGUGGGCUGUCAGACUUCCGAAUGCUACGUAACACCACAAUUAGGUUUAAUAUGAUAGACUUGCAGGGCCAGCGCAACGUGCAACGUGUUCAUACCGAUGUAAUAUAAUAUAAUGUUACAUACUGUACAUAUAAGUAUAAGGGGAUUGUGUUAGUUAUUACUUAUUUGAGUUUAGGGAUUCUAUUUCUUUCAUUUAUUGAGUUAUUGAGAUGUAUUUUGGGGGGGGGGGGGGGGAGGCUGCACCAAGGGAGUCUCAUUCAAUUUCAUUGUACACAUAUUGUGCAUUGACAAUAAAGGUUUGGUUUGGUUUGGUUUGA